UGGUAAUACAGUAACUAUACGCAAGAGGAACCAGCUUUUGCCAUGGCCUGUUUUGAAAGAGUUACUUCACGGAUUUCCCCACUCCCUAAGACUGCAGAACUACCCAGCCCUGAAGCAGCCCCAGCUCACAUAUAACCCAGAAUUUAAGGAGAAGUGUACUUUUCUCUCUGCAGCAGAUGGGAUAGAAAGUAAACCAACUGGUGCAAAUCAUACAGCCAUGACCACCUUGCUCCGG
This 235-nucleotide long non-coding RNA is filed under the name Dromaius novaehollandiae (emu). RNAcentral describes it as "lncRNA (ENSDNVG00000012292.1)". The record is from RNAcentral. Lineage: Eukaryota; Metazoa; Chordata; Aves; Casuariiformes; Dromaiidae.